GAGUUUGAUCUUGGCUCAGAUUGAACGCUGGCGGCAUGCCUUACACAUGCAAGUCGAACGGCAGCACGGGAGCUUGCUCCUGGUGGCGAGUGGCGAACGGGUGAGUAAUGCAUCGGAACGUAUCCUGGAGUGGGGGAUAACGUAGCGAAAGUUACGCUAAUACCGCAUAUUCUGUGAGCAGGAAAGCGGGGGACCUUCGGGCCUCGCGCUCUUGGAGCGGCCGAUGUCGGAUUAGCUAGUUGGUGAGGUAAAGGCUCACCAAGGCGACGAUCCGUAGCAGGUCUGAGAGGAUGAUCUGCCGCACUGGAACUGAGACACGGUCCAGACUCCUACGGGAGGCAGCAGUGGGGAAUUUUGGACAAUGGGGGCAACCCUGAUCCAGCCAUGCCGCGUGAGUGAAGAAGGCCUGGUUGUCGAAGACGUCUUCGU
This 429-nucleotide ribosomal RNA is filed under the name bacterium enrichment culture clone ALO1_GLFRUDD03HI6LE. RNAcentral's name for it is "bacterial SSU rRNA". It matches the Rfam family "Bacterial small subunit ribosomal RNA", at positions 9 to 438 of the family's 1533-position model. The record is from RNAcentral.